GACGAACGCUGGCGGCGUGCUUAACACAUGCAAGUCGAACGGGGUCCAACCAGUGGCAACACUGGGGAAGGCCUAGUGGCGAACGGGUGAGUAACACGUGAGGAACCUGCCCCGGAGACCGGGAUAACCCUCCGAAAGGAGAGCUAAUACCGGAUGUCCUCGUCGAGCCGCAUGACACGACGAGGAAAUGGAUUCCGCUCCGGGAGGGCCUCGCGGCCUAUCAGCUUGUUGGCGGGGUAACGGCCCACCAAGGCGUCGACGGGUAGCUGGUCUGAGAGGACGAUCAGCCACACUGGGACUGAGACACGGCCCAGACUCCUACGGGAGGCAGCAGUGGGGAAUCUUGCGCAAUGGGCGAAAGCCUGACGCAGCAACGCCGCGUGCGGGAUGAAGGCCCUCGGGUCGUAAACCGCUUUCAGUAGGGACGAAACAAGACGGUACCUACAGAAGAAGCUCCGGCCAACUACGUGCCAGCAGCCGCGGUAACACGUAGGGAGCAAGCGUUGUCCGGAUUUAUUGGGCGUAAAGAGCUCGUAGGCGGCUCGGUAAGUCGGGUGUGAAACCUCUGGGCUCAACCCAGAGACGCCACUCGAUACUGCCAUGGCUAGAGUCCAGCAGGGGAGCGUGGAAUUCCCGGUGUAGCGGUGAAAUGCGCAGAUAUCGGGAGGAACACCAGCGGCGAAGGCGGCGCUCUGGGCUGGAACUGACGCUGAGGAGCGAAAGCGUGGGUAGCGAA
This 736-nucleotide ribosomal RNA is filed under the name uncultured soil bacterium. RNAcentral's name for it is "bacterial SSU rRNA". It matches the Rfam family "Bacterial small subunit ribosomal RNA", at positions 28 to 772 of the family's 1533-position model. The record is from RNAcentral.